Long non-coding RNA from Callithrix jacchus (white-tufted-ear marmoset), 1896 nucleotides. RefSeq lists it as uncharacterized. The record is from RefSeq and is a predicted model, not a curated record. NCBI's taxonomy places the organism in Eukaryota, Metazoa, Chordata, Mammalia, Primates, Cebidae.
GGGACUAUACAAAGUCAUAAGUAACUGGAAAUGAAAAUCCCUGGGAACCAUCUUGGAGGCUGGUUGUCACAAUCCAAACUAUAACUUUAAGCAAUUUACAGAUAGAGAAAUGCUAAUGAAUGCUAAAAUCUAAUUUUUCAAAUAUUGACUCAAUUUUAUUUCCAGUCCUUAUGUAUAGAUAUACUCUAUAUUUAAUUUAUAUUGCUCACUGUUUGAAGUUUAUUCCCCUUAGGUGUAUAAAUGUGUUUGUUUUUUCUUUUCUUUCUUUUCUUUUCUUUUUUUUUUUUUUAUUUUGAGACGGAGUUUUGCUGCUGUUACCCAGGCUGGAGUGCAAUGGCACGAUCUUGGCUCACCACAACCUCCACCUCCUGGGUUCAGGCAAUUCUCCUGCCUCAGCCUCCCGAGUAGCUGGGAUUACAGGCACACACCACCAUGCCCAGCUAAGUUUUUAUAUUUUUAGUAGAGACGGGGUUUCACUGUGUUGACCAGGAUGGUCUUGAUCUCUUGACCUCGUGAUCCACCCGCCUCGGCCUCCCAAAGUGCUGGGAUUACAGGCUUGAGCCACCGCACCUGGCCUUGUUUUUUCUUUUCUUUUUUUUCUUUUUUUUGAGACAGAGUCUCACUCUGUUGCCUUGGCUGGAGUGCAGUGGCAUGAUUUUUACUCACUGCCACUUCAACCUCCUGGGCUCAAGGAAUCCUCCCACCUCAGCCUCCAGAGUAGCUGGGACUACAGACAUACACCAACACAUCUGGCCAAUUUUUGUAUUUUUUGUAGAGACAGGGUUUCACCUUUUUGCCCAGGCUGGUCUAGAACCCCUGAGGUCAAGUGAUCCACCCACCUCAGCCUCCCAAAGUGCUGGAAUUAUAGGCAUGAGCCAUGGCGCCUACCCGGUCUGUUUAUUCUUAAGUGAGCCUUGGUAGUUUGUCUUUCAAAGAAGUUGUCCAUUCAUCUAAUUUAUGUAUGUAUGUGUUUAUUUUUUUUUUUUAAAGAAAUAGGGUCUUGUUCUAUUGACAAGGCUGGAGUGCAGUGGUGCAAUCACAGUUCAUUUCAGCCUCAGACUCCUGGGCUCAAGCUGUCCUUCCAUCUCAGCCUCCAAGUAGCUGGGACUACAGGCAUGAGUCUCACUCUGUCGUCUAGGCUGAAGUGCAAGGGCUGGUCUUGGCUCACUGCAACCCCCACCUCCCAGAAAUGGGUUUUUGCCAUGUUGCCCAGUCUCAAACUCCUGAGCUCAAGCAAUCUGCACGCUUUGGCCUCCCAAAGUGCUGGAAUAACAGGCAUGGACCACCGCACCCAGCCUGGAACCACCUUAAUCAAGUGAUCAAGGUCAACAUCGCCAGUAAUAAAGAAGACAUAUGAACAUUAUGAAUCUCAUAUGAUUGACUGAGGACACUUUAUUUCGGUGAUAUUCUUCCAGAAAGCAUAACCUCAAACACAAGAAAACAUCAGACAAAACCAAUUUUUUUUUUACAGUUUCGCUCUGUCACCUGUGCUGGAGUCCAAUGGCAAGAUCUUGGCUCACUGCAACCUCUGCCUCCCAGGUUCAAGCAAUUUUCCUCCCUCAGCUUCCUGACUAGCUGGGACUACGGGCAUGUGCCACCAUGCCCCACUAGUUUUUUUGCAUUUUUUGUAGAGAUGGGGUUUCAGCAUGUCAGUCAGGCUGGUCUUGAACUCUUGACCUCAAAUGAUCCACCCACCUUGGUCUCCCAAAGUGCUGGGAUUAGAAGCGCGAGCCACUGCACACAGCCAGACAAACCCAAAUUGAGGGGUGUUAGACAAAAUAAUUUUUCAAAAGUGACAAGGGCAUGAAAAACAAGGUAACAUUGAAGAAGUAUUGAGACUGCCUCAGCCUUGAGUAACUGGGAUUAUAGGCAUGUGCCACUGUGCCCGGUUAAUUU